AUUGAACGCUGGCGGCAGGCCUAACACAUGCAAGUCGAACGGUAACAGGAAGAAGCUUGCUUCUUUGCUGACGAGUGGCGGACGGGUGAGUAAUGUCUGGGAAACUGCCUGAUGGAGGGGGAUAACUACUGGAAACGGUAGCUAAUACCGCAUAACGUCGCAAGACCAAAGAGGGGGACCUUCGGGCCUCUUGCCAUCGGAUGUGCCCAGAUGGGAUUGGCUAGUAGGAGGGGUAAGGGCUCACCUAGGCGACGAUCCCUAGCUGGUCUGAGAGAAUGACCGGCCACACGGGAACUGGGCCACGGUCCAGACUCCUACGGGAGGCAGCAGUGGGGAAUAUUGCACAAUGGGCGCAAGCCUGAUGCAGCCAUGCCGCGUGUAUGAAGAAGGCCUUCGGGUUGUAAAGUACUUUCAGCGGGGAGGAAGGGAGUAAAGUUAAUACCUUUGCUCAUUGACGUUACCCGCAGAAGAAGCACCGGCUAACUCCGUG
This 490-nucleotide ribosomal RNA is filed under the name uncultured bacterium. Its description in RNAcentral is "partial 16S ribosomal RNA". It matches the Rfam family "Bacterial small subunit ribosomal RNA", at positions 30 to 507 of the family's 1533-position model. The record is from RNAcentral.